RNAcentral lists this ribosomal RNA (434 nucleotides) under uncultured Ruminococcus sp. RNAcentral's name for it is "bacterial SSU rRNA". It matches the Rfam family "Bacterial small subunit ribosomal RNA", at positions 341 to 792 of the family's 1533-position model. Lineage: Bacteria; Bacillati; Bacillota; Clostridia; Eubacteriales; Oscillospiraceae. The record is from RNAcentral.
ACGGAAGGCAGCAGUGGGGAAUAUUGCACAAUGGGGGAAACCCUGAUGCAGCGAUGCCGCGUGGAGGAAGAAGGUUUUCGGAUUGUAAACUCCUGUCUUAAAGGACGAUAAUGACGGUACUUUAGGAGGAAGCUCCGGCUAACUACGUGCCAGCAGCCGCGGUAAUACGUAGGGAGCGAGCGUUGUCCGGAAUUACUGGGUGUAAAGGGUGCGUAGGCGGGGCUGCAAGUCAGAUGUGAAAUGUAUGGGCUCAACCCAUGAACUGCAUUUGAAACUGUGGCUCUUGAGUGAGGUAGAGGUAAGCGGAAUUCCUAGUGUAGCGGUGAAAUGCGUAGAUAUUAGGAGGAACAUCGGUGGCGAAGGCGGCUUACUGGGCCUUUACUGACGCUGAGGCACGAAAGCGUGGGGAGCAAACAGGAUUAGAUACCCUGGUA